GAUGAACGCUGGCGGUAUGCUUAACACAUGCAAGUCGAACGGACUCUUCGGAGUUAGUGGCGGACGGGUGAGUAACGCGUGAGAAUCUGGCUUUGGGUUCGGGACAACCACUGGAAGCGGUGGCUAAUACCGGAUGUGCCGAGAGGUAAAAGAGAAAUUGCCUGAAGAUGAGCUCGCGUCUGAUUAGCUAGUUGGUGAGGUAAAGGCUCACCAAGGCAGCGAUCAGUAGCUGGUCUGAGAGGAUGACCAGCCACACUGGGACUGAGACACGGCCCAGACUCCUACGGGAGGCAGCAGUGGGGAAUUUUCCGCAAUGGGCGAAAGCCUGACGGAGCAAUACCGCGUGAGGGAAGAAGGCUCUUGGGUUGUAAAACACUUUUCUUAGGGAAGAACAAAAUGACGGUACCUAAGGAAUCAGCAUCGGCUAACUCCG
RNAcentral lists this ribosomal RNA (433 nucleotides) under uncultured bacterium. RNAcentral's name for it is "partial 16S ribosomal RNA". It matches the Rfam family "Bacterial small subunit ribosomal RNA", at positions 28 to 505 of the family's 1533-position model. The record is from RNAcentral.